AUUCAAAUAGUUUAAGUUAAAAUAUUGAUUUGUGGUGUCAAAGAUAUAAAUUUUAUUUUGAAUA
RNAcentral lists this transfer RNA (64 nucleotides) under Cerambycidae sp. 7 KM-2017. Its description in RNAcentral is "tRNA-His". It matches the Rfam family "tRNA". Rfam says of the family: Transfer RNA (tRNA) molecules are approximately 80 nucleotides in length. Their secondary structure includes four short double-helical elements and three loops (D, anti-codon, and T loops). Further hydrogen bonds mediate the characteristic L-shaped molecular structure. tRNAs have two regions of fundamental functional importance: the anti-codon, which is responsible for specific mRNA codon recognition, and the 3' end, to which the tRNAs corresponding amino acid is attached (by aminoacyl-tRNA synthetases). tRNAs cope with the degeneracy of the genetic code in two manners: having more than one tRNA (with a specific anti-codon) for a particular amino acid; and 'wobble' base-pairing, i.e. permitting non-standard base-pairing at the 3rd anti-codon position. Lineage: Eukaryota; Metazoa; Arthropoda; Insecta; Coleoptera; Cerambycidae. The record is from RNAcentral.